Long non-coding RNA from Leptopilina boulardi, 252 nucleotides. RefSeq lists it as uncharacterized. Lineage: Eukaryota; Metazoa; Arthropoda; Insecta; Hymenoptera; Figitidae. The record is from RefSeq and is a predicted model, not a curated record. The transcript is spliced from 3 exons.
CUGGAAAUACGUUAUAUACGUGUGAUUCAAAAAUAAUAAAAUAUACCCCACACUGAGAAUCAAUCGAGUUCUGUAUACAUAUCAAGAGAAGAGGAGGAGGAGACUGCGUAAAUUAUCAACUGAUGUCAACUUUCAAUUGCGGUGGAAAAACUCGAGAUCUUGAGCGAUCUAGAUUAGUAGAAUUUAUGGUUUUUUACAAUUAGACAUUAUAUUAUUCAUGGUGAGAAAAAAAUGAGUUCAUUUCACACGAAA